AAAGAUUAGGUCUAUUCAUUCUUUCUAACUAUUUUGUGUACCUUUUAAAAUUGAGGUUCAAAAGGAAGUUGUAAUGGUUUCAAAACAAUUGAGAUCAGGGAUCUCUAAAUGGGGCUUUGAGGCACCGGGAAACAUACCCUUACCCUAACCUGCAAAUGGGACUCUGAGAAUGUAAAUGCUUAGGUCAAGUUACCAACUAAAUAACAAAGGCUAAGCCCAGAUAUCAGUUCUAUAAUUUGAGGUGCCCCCACCAUUAUUUUCUCUUGAUCCUCAAGUUUCUUACUCUUUUUACUCAUUUCAAUAUUGUCCAGCUGUAGAUGAAUUCUAUUUUUAGAAGUUAGUGUGGUUACAUUUAAACCUAAUUUUCAAACUGACUUGCUUGAGAUCCAAAGCACAUUUUUAAGCGUCAGAGCUCUAGGAACAGAAAAUAGCAUCCCUGGGAUGACAGGAAGGAUGCCCUGUGCCUGGAGGAGGUCUCUCUCCAGGAUUCAGCACACCGUGGAGCUGUGGGAAGUGUGUUAUCUCUGUCAUGAGAGAGAAAGGAGUGGCUGGCUCAGCAAGAUUAGAGCCUCUCUCUGGAUUGUUCCUCAGAACCAGAAGAACUGUGUGGAGUGGCAGCAACUGGAGGAAGCAGAAUGUCCCCGAGCAAGAUUGUCAAGAGAAAAAAGUUACAUGUAUAAAAUCUACAGUAGAAUUGGAAGAUGGAUCUAAUGAGAAUAACACUAAGGAAACACCAUCCUUCAAAAACUAAAAGCUCCUUGAUGAGACAAGAAAAUGAAGUGUCCCAGAAGAGGAAAUGCAGCAAGUGAGACUGCCGAAGUCUUGAGCUGUCUGUCACCUUUCUGCCUGGUUUCUCAGCCCUACACCUGUUACAAAUUAGUAAAUGCCUCAAGGAGAAAACUGACUAGGACUAUUGGCAUUAUCAUGAUGCAGUUUUCUUCAAAAUCAUGGUUGCUCUUCAGAGCCUUCAAACAGCUGUUUUUGUUUUGGGUUUUUUUGUUUGGUUGGUUUUAUGCUGCAUUUAUAGAUGUCUAGGCACAAUGAUGGGCCUGCAUAAGCUACUCUACCAUUGCAAAAAUGCAAAAUCACAUUUCAUAAUGCAAUUUGCUGUUGGCAAAUUCGAUGUGAAUCUCAGGUCAUCAUUAUUGCCAAUCCUGUAAUUUUAAAUCUAUCCCCAUGAAAUUGAAUCUGAUUUGAUGUAAUCUAUCUCCACAAGAAUUUAUAGCUGGAAAGGACUUCAGAAUAUGUCCCUUUCUAAUCCCCCUCACUUUGCAAGUGACACAGCAAUUUAGCGACGAAGCUGAGAUUAGAACUCUGGCCCCCAGACACCCAGUCUAGUAUGUUUUCUUACACAAUGGUGCCUCAUGAAUAAUGCCAAAAGUGUAUCCUCAAAGUUUUGUACCUACAUCCUUGAAGAACUUCUUGGGCAGGCUUAAGCAUUUCUUAGUUGCAAUGGCUUGAUAAUAAAGUUACUCUUAAAGUUAUACAAGGAAUUUCUUCAACUAUACCAAAAAAUUUUAGUCAGACCGUUCUCUCAGCAAAAAAAGAAAAAGAAAAAAAAAAAACUGUCAUCCUUUCAUCUUUCAUCUUUUAUCCCUUAAAAAAAACAAUGUGUCCCAGAUAAACGAAU
This 1630-nucleotide long non-coding RNA is filed under the name Homo sapiens (human). RNAcentral describes it as "HSALNT0310947". The record is from RNAcentral. Lineage: Eukaryota; Metazoa; Chordata; Mammalia; Primates; Hominidae.